Molecule: ribosomal RNA, 253 nt
Filed under: uncultured bacterium
Lineage: Bacteria
Description: partial 16S ribosomal RNA
Rfam family: Bacterial small subunit ribosomal RNA
Source: RNAcentral
UACGUAGGGUGCGAGCGUUAUCCGGAAUUACUGGGUUUAAAGGGUGCGUAGGCGGCUAUGUAAGUCAGGAGUGAAAGUUUGCGGCUCAACCGUAAAAUUGCUUUUGAUACUGCAUAGCUGGAAUUAGGAUGAGGUCAGCGGAAUGUGGCAUGUAGCGGUGAAAUGCAUAGAUAUGCCAUAGAACACCAAUCGCGAAGGCAGCUGACUAGACCUGGAUUGACGCUGAGGCACGAAAGCGUGGGGAGCGAACAGG